GACGAACGCUGGCGGCGUGCCUAAUACAUGCAAGUCGAACGCAGUGGGGCCGGGUGAGUAACACGUGGGUAACCUCCCAUCAGAGGGGAUAACACUUGGAAACAGGUGCUAAACCGAUACUGAUGGAUGGACCCGCGGUGCAUUAGCUAGUUGGGGAGGUAACGGCUCACCAAGGCCACGAUGCAUAGCUGGCCUGAGAGGGUGAUCAGCCACACUGGGACUGAGACACGGCCCAGACUCCUACGGGAGGCAGCAGUGGGGAAUAUUGGGCAAUGGACGAAAGCCUGACCGAGCAACGCCGCGUGAGUGAAGAAGGUUUUCGGAUCGUAAAGCUCUGUUGUUAGAGAAGCGGUAUCUAACCAGAAAGCAACGGCUAACUACGUGCCAGCAGCCGCGGUAAUUC
Molecule: ribosomal RNA, 403 nt
Filed under: uncultured bacterium
Lineage: Bacteria
Description: partial 16S ribosomal RNA
Rfam family: Bacterial small subunit ribosomal RNA
Source: RNAcentral